Molecule: ribosomal RNA, 795 nt
Filed under: Ralstonia solanacearum
Lineage: Bacteria; Pseudomonadati; Pseudomonadota; Betaproteobacteria; Burkholderiales; Burkholderiaceae
Description: bacterial SSU rRNA
Rfam family: Bacterial small subunit ribosomal RNA
Source: RNAcentral
GAUUAGCUAGUUGGUGGGGUAAAGGCCCACCAAGGCGACGAUCAGUAGCUGGUCUGAGAGGACGAUCAGCCACACUGGGGAGACACGGCCCAGACUCCUACGGGAGGCAGCAGUGGGGAAUUUUGGACAAUGGGGGCAACCCUGAUCCAGCAAUGCCGCGUGUGUGAAGAAGGCCUUCGGGUUGUAAAGCACUUUUGUCCGGAAAGAAAUCGCACUGGUUAAUACCUGGUGUGGAUGACGGUACCGGAAGAAUAAGGACCGGCUAACUUGCCAGCAGCCGCGGUAAUACGUAGGGUCCAAGCGUUAAUCGGAAUUACUGGGCGUAAAGCGUGCGCAGGCGGUUGUGCAAGACCGAUGUGAAAUCCCCGGGCUUAACCUGGGAAUUAUUGGUGACUGCACGGCUAGAGUGUGUCAGAGGGAGGUAGAAUUCCACGUGUAGCAGUGAAAUGCGUAGAGAUGUGGAGGAAUACCGAUGCGAAGGCAGCCUCCUGGGAUAACACUGACGCUCAUGCACGAAAGCGGGGAGCAAACAGGAUUAGAUACCCUGGUAGUCCACGCCCUAAACGAUGUCAACUAGUUUGGGGAUUCUUUUAGUAACGUAGCUAACGCGUGAAGUUGACCGCCUGGGGAGUACGGUCGCAAGAUUAACUCAAAGGAAUUGACGGGGACCCGCACAAGCGGUGGAUGAUGUGGAUUAAUUCGAUGCAACGCAAAACCUUACCUACCCUUGACAUGCCACUAACGAAGCAGAGAUGCAUUAGGUGCUCGAAAGAGAAAGUGGACACAGGUGCUGCA